Molecule: ribosomal RNA, 465 nt
Filed under: uncultured bacterium
Lineage: Bacteria
Description: bacterial SSU rRNA
Rfam family: Bacterial small subunit ribosomal RNA
Source: RNAcentral
CCUACGGGUUGCAGCAGUGGGGAAUAUUGCACAAUGGGCGCAAGCCUGAUGCAGCCAUGCCGCGUGUAUGAAGAAGGCCUUCAGGUUGUAAAGUACUUUCAGCGGGGAGGAAGGCGAUAAGGUUAAUAACCUUGUCGAUUGAUGUUACCCGCAGAAGAAGCACCGGCUAACUCCGUGCCAGCAGCCGCGGUAAUACGGAGGGUGCAAGCGUUAAUCGGAAUUACUGGGCGUAAAGCGCACGCAGGCGGUCUGUCAAGUCGGAUGUGAAAUCCCCGGGCUCAACCUGGGAACUGCAUUCGAAACUGGCAGGCUAGAGUCUUGUAGAGGGGGGUAGAAUUCCAGGUGUAGCGGUGAAAUGCAUAGAGAUCUGGAGGAAUACCGGUGGCGAAGGCGGCCCCCUGGAUAAAGACUGACGCUCAGGUGCGAAAGCGUGGGGAGCAAACAGGAUUAGAUACCCGAGUAGUC